AGCCGCCGCGGUAAUACCGGCAGCCCAAGUGAUGACCGCUAUUAUUGGGCCUAAAGCGUCCGUAGCUGGCCAGGCAAGUCCGUCGGGAAAUCCGCGCGCUUAACGCGCGGGCGUCCGGUGGAAACUGCGUGGCUUGGGACCGGAAGACCUGAGGGGUACGUCUGGGGUAGGAGUGAAAUCCCGUAAUCCUGGACGGACCACCGGUGGCGAAAGCGCCUCAGGAAGACGGAUCCGACGGUGAGGGACGAAAGCUCGGGUCACGAACCGGAUUAGAUACCCGGGUAGUCCGAGCUGUAAACGAUGUCUGCUAGGUGUGCCACAGGCUACGAGCCUGUGGUGUGCCGUAGGGAAGCCGUGAAGCAGACCGCC
RNAcentral lists this ribosomal RNA (369 nucleotides) under Natronoarchaeum sp. RNAcentral's name for it is "bacterial SSU rRNA". It matches the Rfam family "Archaeal small subunit ribosomal RNA", at positions 460 to 828 of the family's 1478-position model. The record is from RNAcentral. Lineage: Archaea; Methanobacteriati; Methanobacteriota; Halobacteria; Halobacteriales; Natronoarchaeaceae.